This 492-nucleotide ribosomal RNA is filed under the name uncultured bacterium. RNAcentral describes it as "partial 16S ribosomal RNA". It matches the Rfam family "Bacterial small subunit ribosomal RNA", at positions 29 to 507 of the family's 1533-position model. The record is from RNAcentral.
AGUGAACGCUGGCGGUAGGCCUAACACAUGCAAGUCGAACGGCAGCACAGUAAGAGCUUGCUCUUACGGGUGGCGAGUGGCGGACGGGUGAGGAAUACAUCGGAAUCUACUUUUUCGUGGGGGAUAACGUAGGGAAACUUACGCUAAUACCGCAUACGACCUCCGGGUGAAAGCAGGGGAUCUUCGGACCUUGCGCGAUUGAAUGAGCCGAUGUCGGAUUAGCUAGUUGGCGGGGUAAAGACCCACCAAGCCGACGAUCCGUAGCUGGUCUGAGAGGAUGAGCAGCCACACUGGAACGGAGACACGGUCCAGACUCCUACGGGAGGCAGCAGUGGGGAAUAUUGGACAAUGGGCGCGAGCCUGAUCCAGCCAUACCGCGUGGGUGAAGAAGGCCUUCGGGUUGUAAAGCCCUUUUGUUGGGAAAGAAAAGCAGCAGGUUAAUACCCAGCUGUUCUGACGGUACCCAAAGAAUAAGCACCGGCUAACUUCGUG